CUAACUGGAGGACCGAACCGACUAAUGUUGAAAAAUUAGCGGAUGACUUGUGGCUGGGGGUGAAAGGCCAAUCAAACCGGGAGAUAGCUGGUUCUCCCCGAAAGCUAUUUAGGUAGCGCCUCGUGAACUCAUCUUCGGGGGUAGAGCACUGUUUCGGCUAGGGGGUCAUCCCGACUUACCAACCCGAUGCAAACUGCGAAUACCGAAGAAUGUUAUCACGGGAGACACACGGCGGGUGCUAACGUCCGUCGUGAAGAGGGAAACAACCCAGACCGCCAGCUAAGGUCCCAAAGUCAUGGUUAAGUGGGAAACGAUGUGGGAAGGCACAGACAGCCAGGAUGUUGGCUUAGAAGCAGCCAUCAUUUAAAGAAAGCGUAAUAGCUCACUGGUCGAGUCGGCCUGCGCGGAAGAUGUAACGGGGCUAAACCAUGCACCGAAGCUGCGGCAGCGACACUAUGUGUUGUUGGGUAGGGGAGCGUUCUGUAAGCCGUUGAAGGUGUGUCGUGAGGUAUGCUGGAGGUAUCAGAAGUGCGAAUGCUGACAUAAGUAACGAUAAUGCGGGUGAAAAACCCGCACGCCGGAAGACCAAGGGUUCCUGUCCAACGUUAAUCGGGGCAGGGUGAGUCGACCCCUAAGGCGAGGCCGAAAGGCGUAGUCGAUGGGAAACAGGUUAAUAUUCCUGUACUUGGUGUUACUGCGAAGGGGGGACGGAGAAGGCUAUGUUAGCCGGGCGACGGUUGUCCCGGUUUAAGCAUGUAGGCGGAGGUUCCAGGUAAAUCCGGUACCUUUUAACGCUGAGGUGUGAUGACGAGGCACUACGGUGCUGAAGUAACAAAUGCCCUGCUUCCAGGAAAAGCCUCUAAGCAUCAGGUAACACGAAAUCGUACCCCAAACCGACACAGGUGGUCAGGUAGA
This 915-nucleotide ribosomal RNA is filed under the name Citrobacter freundii complex sp. 2023EL-00966. Its description in RNAcentral is "partial 23S ribosomal RNA". It matches the Rfam family "Bacterial large subunit ribosomal RNA", at positions 762 to 1675 of the family's 2925-position model. Lineage: Bacteria; Pseudomonadati; Pseudomonadota; Gammaproteobacteria; Enterobacterales; Enterobacteriaceae. The record is from RNAcentral.